GACGAACGCUGGCGGCGUGCUUAACACAUGCAAGUCGAACGGAGUGGAGAACGGGCGUGUAACACGUGGGUGACCUGCCCUGCACUUCGGGAUAAGCCUGGGAAACUGGGUCUAAUACCGGAUAGUGGGGGAUGGGCCCGCGGGCUAUCAGCUUGUUGGUGGGGUAAUGGCCUACCAAGGCGGCGACGGGUGGCCGGCCUGAGAGGGUGGACGGCCACGUUGUGCCUGAGGCACGGCCCAUACUCCUACGGGAGGCAGCAGUGGGGAAUAUUGCACAAUGGGCGGGAGGCUGAUGCAGCGACGCCGCGUGGGGGAUGACGGCCUUCAGGUUGUAAACUCCUGUCGCCAUCGACGCGGUAGAUGGAGAAGAAGCACCGGCUAACGACGUGCCAGCAGCCGCGGUAAUUC
RNAcentral lists this ribosomal RNA (408 nucleotides) under uncultured bacterium. RNAcentral's name for it is "partial 16S ribosomal RNA". It matches the Rfam family "Bacterial small subunit ribosomal RNA", at positions 28 to 526 of the family's 1533-position model. The record is from RNAcentral.